GAUGGAAGAACGCAGCGAAAUGCGAUAAGUAGUGUGAAUUGCAGAAUUCCGUGAAUCAUCGAAUCUUUGAACGCACAUUGCGCCUUCUGGUAUUCCGGAAGGCAUGCCUGUUCGAGAGUCAUUAACAACCGUUUCGAUCCCUUUCUUUCAGAAAUUACAAAGAGGAAAAGGGUUUGGUUAUGGUGGAGGAGGGAAAGGGAGCGUUUAGCCUGUAAAAAAAGAGGCUGUGUUCCGCCUCCCCCCCAAAAUUGUACAGGCGGUCGUGUGCGCCCACGCAUCGAGGUGUUGUAAAAGCUGCCACGGCACUUUUCACCUGUGCAGUGCGAGAUUGGCCAGCCGGUUUAAAAACCCCUCCAAACAAUCAAAGGUUGACCUCGGAUCAGGUAGGGAUACCCGCUGAACUUAAGCAUAUCAAUAAGCGGAGGA
RNAcentral lists this unclassified non-coding RNA (426 nucleotides) under soil metagenome. RNAcentral's name for it is "partial contains 5.8S ribosomal RNA, internal transcribed spacer 2, and large subunit ribosomal RNA". The stretch from base 5 to 121 matches the Rfam family "5.8S ribosomal RNA", at positions 38 to 154 of the family's 154-position model. The record is from RNAcentral.